RNAcentral lists this ribosomal RNA (253 nucleotides) under uncultured bacterium. Its description in RNAcentral is "partial 16S ribosomal RNA". It matches the Rfam family "Bacterial small subunit ribosomal RNA", at positions 524 to 776 of the family's 1533-position model. The record is from RNAcentral.
UACGUAGGCAGCAAGCGUUGUUCGGAAUUACUGGGCGUAAAGAGUGUGUAGGCGGUGUUCUAAGUUUGUCGUGAAAUCUCCCGGCUUAACUGGGAGGGUGCGGCGAAGACUGGAAUGCUAGAGGAUGGGAGAGGUAAGCGGAAUUCCUGGUGUAGCGGUGAAAUGCGUAGAUAUCAGGAGGAACACCUGUGGUGUAGACAGCUUACUGGACCAUUUCUGACGCUGAGACACGAAAGCGUGGGUAGCAAACAGG